UUCUGUCUAGGAAAGAGGUUUGGUCACCUAAUUGCGCGUCAAUAAGGAGAAAUCCUUAUUGGAAAGUGUAACGCCCCCAAAAUAGGUCCAAUCCAUCCAACCUAUUCUGAGUCGCCAAAUACAUGGUACAGAAAACAACUACAACUUUAUUACUACAAUUGUCGUGCAAAAUACAAUAACACAUAUGUUGUGAGUUUUGAUACAAAUAUAUAUACCAACUGUGACUCUUGACACCAAAUUGGAUAGCAC
Molecule: long non-coding RNA, 249 nt
Filed under: Panax ginseng (ginseng)
Lineage: Eukaryota; Viridiplantae; Streptophyta; Magnoliopsida; Apiales; Araliaceae
Description: long non-coding RNA (PGIN_LNC015131)
Source: RNAcentral